This is a long non-coding RNA of Carya illinoinensis, 706 nucleotides long. RefSeq lists it as uncharacterized. The record is from RefSeq and is a predicted model, not a curated record. Lineage: Eukaryota; Viridiplantae; Streptophyta; Magnoliopsida; Fagales; Juglandaceae. The transcript has 2 exons.
GAUAAAUUCCGAGCAUUCUAACCAUAACGGAACGAUAUUCAAAACCUUACUCAGUAGCCCAGCCCCUAAAUUGAUACCCACCAUUUUCGGUUGCUAAAUAAAGUGUUUUCGGUCUCUCUCUCUCUUCUCUCUCUCUCCCUCUUUCUCUCACCCUGAAACAGAGGAAUCAGAGUCACCCAGAGAAGAUUUGAAUGUCCACCCAGCUGCUCUGAAAACGCCGCCCCCCCCUCUCUCUCUCUCCCUCCCCUCAAGACUGGCUCUGCGAAGAGCCAUUGUUUUGCUCUGUCAUUGCUUAGAACAAACUCCCAAAAGAAAGAGCAGAGGAGAACCGUCUCUGAUGAGUGAUUAUGCCCUUGUAAAUCACUCACCACAUUUUAGCUGCCUCUGUUUCCCAGAUUUGUUCCCAAACCGUUUUUUUUUUUUAAUUUAUUCCCAUUCUUGUGUCCUUCUGCUUGUUUCAUUUGAGUUGAAGCUAUGAGUGAAGAAGAUUUUGUGAAGAUCCAGGUGACAUGGAAUUCAAGCAAAACAAGUUUUUUCCUGCUGAAAAUCAAAUGGUAACUGCUAAUCCAGAUAUAAAGGUUGUAUGUAUAUUCUUGGUAAUUUAAAAAAUUGGUAUUUAUAUUAUGUGCUCAUGUGAUAAAGUGCGGAUUCUAAAAUUUACAGUCUCCAAACAUUUUGUAUAGAUACUUUAACAUCUGUUUCUCUG